ACAUGAAUAGCUCAGUCAGCAGAGCAUGUGACUCUUAAUUUCAGGGCCAUGGGUUUAAGCCGCAUGUUGGGCA
Podarcis lilfordi (Lilford's wall lizard) is the source of this 73-nucleotide non-coding RNA. Lineage: Eukaryota; Metazoa; Chordata; Lepidosauria; Squamata; Lacertidae. The record is from the annotation of a GenBank genome assembly.